ACGAACGCUGGCGGCGUGCCUAAUACAUGCAAGUAGAACGCUGAAGGAGGAGCUUGCUUCUCUGGAUGAGUUGCGAACGGGUGAGUAACGCGUAGGUAACCUGCCUGGUAGCGGGGGAUAACUAUUGGAAACGAUAGCUAAUACCGCAUAAGAGUAGAUGUUGCAUGACAUUUGCUUAAAAGGUGCAAUUGCAUCACUACCAGAUGGACCUGCGUUGUAUUAGCUAGUUGGUGAGGUAACGGCUCACCAAGGCAACGAUACAUAGCCGACCUGAGAGGGUGAUCGGCCACACUGGGACUGAGACACGGCCCAGACUCCUACGGGAGGCAGCAGUAGGGAAUCUUCGGCAAUGGACGGAAGUCUGACCGAGCAACGCCGCGUGAGUGAAGAAGGUUUUCGGAUCGUAAAUCUCUGUUGUAAGAGAAGAACGAGUGUGAGAGUGGAAAGUUCACACUGUGACGGUAUCUUACCAGAAAGGGACGGCUAACUACGUG
Molecule: ribosomal RNA, 494 nt
Filed under: uncultured bacterium
Lineage: Bacteria
Description: partial 16S ribosomal RNA
Rfam family: Bacterial small subunit ribosomal RNA
Source: RNAcentral